This 660-nucleotide ribosomal RNA is filed under the name Arthrobacter sp. JSM 081044. RNAcentral's name for it is "bacterial SSU rRNA". It matches the Rfam family "Bacterial small subunit ribosomal RNA", at positions 1 to 688 of the family's 1533-position model. The record is from RNAcentral. Lineage: Bacteria; Bacillati; Actinomycetota; Actinomycetes; Micrococcales; Micrococcaceae.
GCGUGGAUUUGGGUGGGAUUAUGGUGGCGGUCUACACAUGCAGUCGAACGAUGACCCCGGUGCUUGCACCGGGUGAUUAGUGGCGAACGGGUGAGUAACACGUGAGUAACCUGCCCCCGACUCUGGGAUAAGCCCGGGAAACUGGGUCUAAUACCGGAUAUUCACUUCCUUCCGCAUGGGAGGUGGUGGAAAGAUUUUAUCGGUGGGGGAUGGACUCGCGGCCUAUCAGCUUGUUGGUGGGGUAAUGGCCCACCAAGGCGACGACGGGUAGCCGGCCUGAGAGGGUGACCGGCCACACUGGGACUGAGACACGGCCCAGACUCCUACGGGAGGCAGCAGUGGGGAAUAUUGCACAAUGGGCGAAAGCCUGAUGCAGCGACGCCGCGUGAGGGAUGACGGCCUUCGGGUUGUAAACCUCUUUCAGUAGGGAAGAAGCGAAAGUGACGGUACCUGCAGAAGAAGCGCCGGCUAACUACGUGCCAGCAGCCGCGGUAAUACGUAGGGCGCAAGCGUUAUCCGGAAUUAUUGGGCGUAAAGAGCUCGUAGGCGGUUUGUCGCGUCUGCCGUGAAAGUCCGGGGCUCAACCCCGGAUCUGCGGUGGGUACGGGCAGACUAGAGUGAUGUAGGGGAGACUGGAAUUCCUGGUGUAGCGGUGAAAUG